RNAcentral lists this ribosomal RNA (498 nucleotides) under uncultured bacterium. Its description in RNAcentral is "bacterial SSU rRNA". It matches the Rfam family "Bacterial small subunit ribosomal RNA", at positions 29 to 518 of the family's 1533-position model. The record is from RNAcentral.
AUGAACGCUAGCGACAGGCUUAACACAUGCAAGUCGAGGGGCAGCAUAAAAGUAGCAAUACUUGGUGGCGACCGGCGCACGGGUGAGUAACGCGUAUGCAACAUACCUAUCAGAGGGGAAUAACCCGGCGAAAGUCGGACUAAUACCGCAUAAAACAGGGACACCGCAUGGUGAUAUUUGUUAAAGAAAUUCGCUGAUAGAUGGGCAUGCGUUCCAUUAGGUAGUUGGUGAGGUAACGGCUCACCAAGCCGACGAUGGAUAGGGGAACUGAGAGGUUGGUCCCCCACACUGGUACUGAGACACGGACCAGACUCCUACGGGAGGCAGCAGUGAGGAAUAUUGGUCAAUGGACGAGAGUCUGAACCAGCCAAGUCGCGUGCAGGAAGAAUGUCCUUAAUGGAUUGUAAACUGCUUUUGCAGGGGAAUAAAGUGCAUCACGUGUGAUGUUUUGUAUGUACUCUGCGAAUAAGGAUCGGCUAACUCCGUGCCAGCAGCCGC